Molecule: ribosomal RNA, 776 nt
Filed under: uncultured Neocallimastigales
Lineage: Eukaryota; Fungi; Neocallimastigomycota; Neocallimastigomycetes; Neocallimastigales
Description: partial large subunit ribosomal RNA
Rfam family: Eukaryotic large subunit ribosomal RNA
Source: RNAcentral
CAUAGCGACUAUCGUGGCAUAUCAAUAAGCGGAGGAAAAGAAACUAACAAGGAUUCCCUUAGUAACGGCGAGUGAAGCGGGAAGAGCUCAAAUCUGAAAUCUUCAAGGUUCUACCUUGACGAAUUGUAGUUUAUAGAAGUGUUUUCUGUUAGUGGAGUGGCAAAAGUUCUCUGGAAUAGGACAUCAUAGAGGGUGAGAAUCCCGUAUUUGGUCAUUCCUUCUAGCGUUGUGAUACACUUUCAAAGAGUCGGAUUGUUUGGGAAUGCAGUCCAAAAUGGGUGGUAAAUUUCAUCUAAAGCUAAAUAUUGGCGAGAGACCGAUAGCGAACAAGUACCGUGAGGGAAAGAUGAAAAGAACUUUGAAAAGAGAGUUAAACAGUACGUGAAAUUGUCAAAAGGGAAGCGUUUGACACCAGUGUUGUUUUUCCGAAAAUCAAUUACGAAUGUUUUAGUUUUUAAGGAGUCAUGACUUCAUCGGCUUGCUCCUUUCUUUACGAAACUUUCUUAAUGCACUUUUCGGUUAACAAGUCAACAUCAAUUUCUUUUGUUGUAAAAGGGUAUGAGGAAGGUGGCUUUCUUUUCGGAGAAAGUGUUUAUAGCCUUGUAUCCUCUGCAGUCGGAGAGAUUGAGGUCUGCAGCGUAGAUCCUUCGGGGUUAGAUACAUUUGUGCUAAGCUAUAGCUUUUUAUAGACAACUUGUUGACUAUGCCUAGUCAUGUAGCUUACUCGCUUAUGCUAUUUUACCUACGCUUAGGAUGUUGACGAGACUGUCGAUCUC